ACGGCUCAGUAACACGUGGAUAACCUGCCCUUGGGUUCGGCAUAACCCCGGGAAACUGGGGCUAAUUCCGGAUAACGCACAUAUGCUGGAAUGCUUUAUGCGUAAAAUGGGUUCGUCUGCCCAAGGAUGGGUCUGCGGCCUAUCAGGCAGUAGUGGGUGUAAUGUACCUACUAGCCUACAACGGGUACGGGUUGUGAGAGCAAGAGCCCGGAGAUGGAUUCUGAGACAUGAAUCCAGGCCCUACGGGGCGCAGCAGGCGCGAAAACUUUACAAUGCGGGAAACCGUGAUAAGGGGACACCGAGUGCUAGCAUCAUAUGCUGGCUGUCCAGGUGUGUAAAAUACACCUGUUAGCAAGGGCCGGGCAAGACCGGUGCCAGCCGCCGCGGUAACACCGGCGGCCCGAGUGGUGAUCGUGAUUAUUGGGUCUAAAGGGUCCGUAGCCGGUUUGGUCAGUCCUCCGGGAAAUCUGAUAGCUCAACUAUUAGGCUUUCGGGGGAUACUGCCAGGCUUGGAACCGGGAGAGGUAAGAGGUACUACAGGGGUAGGAGUGAAAUCUUGUAAUCCCUGUGGGACCACCUGUGGCGAAGGCGUCUUACCAGAACGGGUUCGACGGUGAGGGACGAAAGCUGGGGGCACGAACCGGAUUAGAUACCCGGGUAGUCCCAGCCGUAAACGAUGCUCGCUAGGUGUCAGGCAUGGCGCGACCGUGUCUGGUGCCGCAGGGAAGCCGUGAAGCGAGCCACCUGGGAAAGUACGGCCGCAAGGCUGAAACUUAAAGGAAUUGGCGGGGGAG
RNAcentral lists this ribosomal RNA (794 nucleotides) under uncultured archaeon. RNAcentral's name for it is "bacterial SSU rRNA". It matches the Rfam family "Archaeal small subunit ribosomal RNA", at positions 85 to 876 of the family's 1478-position model. The record is from RNAcentral.